CUUGAGUCUUCUGUAUUCUUCACUCUUGAGGUUCUCGUUUGUGUAAGACGUUUCUUUUUUGAUUGACAGGCCCAGUGUGCUGCUCUGAUGUGUUUGGCUAUUCAGGAGGAAGUGUCACUAUAAUACCCGAUCUGCAAUGGGAUGUAAAUAAUACGAGAUAUAUUUGUAAGAUGGAACAAAGUGGCUGCCUAAAUAUAAUCAGGGACCAGACUCUGAGCAAGUCUGUUUUUAGUGGAAGAUUCGAGAUGUAUUCAAAUACAGCAGGCAACUUUAUAGCGAUGAUCAGAGAGCUAAACCCACAGGACUCUGCCGUUUACAGAUUUGGAGUUGGGAAUGAAAAGCAUAAGGACGUUGAGCUGACCGUUCAGAGUGGUGAGACAAUUUGACCUGUUGAAGCUCUUGGGUUUCUAAAAUAUUUAAGAAAAUAACGAUAUAUAUAAAUGAGACAUUGAUCCCAAACACACUCUUGUUUAAUCAGCUAAUGAAUAAACCAUAUGGUUGUUUAUAUAACUGACAGAUUCUUGUUGUGGGGGAAUUAAAAGAAUGAAAGCUUAUCUGGGAGAGACGGUCACCUUCAAAUGUAGCUAUCCAUAUGAGUUCAAGACAAACAACAAGCGGUUAAUCAACCUCAACAAUCAAACUACUGUUAAAGUGAUAAUUUACACUCGAAAAGAGGCUCAGAAAAAGCACAAUGGCAGAUUCUCCAUCGUUGAUGACAGAAGCUCUAACGUCUUCAGUGUGAACAUCAGUGAUGUGAGAGAAGAUGAUGGAGGAGUUUAUCUGUGUGGAGUGAAGAGGACAGAGAAGUCAGUGGGUUAUUACAACUAUUUCAAAGAGAUUCAACUACGAGUUACUGAAAAACCAACUGCACUACCAGAAAGUCCAAGCACAACUAUAGACCCAACUACAGCUACAACCUACUGGAGCAAAUCAGCAGCACCAGCAGAAGCAGAAACAUCUGAUGAAGAACAUCUCAGUUCCUCUGUCAUCAUCACUGUAUUUGUCUGUGUGGCUCUGUUGCUGAUUGGAGGAUCAGCACUGAUCGUCUACAAACUGAGGAACCACAGGAUACAGGACUCUGCCUCGACUGGCCAGAGAACAGACAAAAGUAAAGUG
Molecule: long non-coding RNA, 1116 nt
Organism: Pygocentrus nattereri (red-bellied piranha)
Lineage: Eukaryota; Metazoa; Chordata; Actinopteri; Characiformes; Serrasalmidae
Source: Ensembl